UAAGGAAUAUUGCUCAAUGGGAGAAAUCCUGAAGCAGCAACGCCGCGUGGAGGAUGAAGGGUCUAUGACUUGUAAACUCCUGUAAAGAAGGAAAAAAUUCCCAUUAGAUGGGAGAUGAUGGUACUUCUGGAGUAAGCCCCGGCUAACUACGUGCCAGCAGCCGCGGUAAUACGUAGGGGGCAAGCGUUGUCCGGAUUUACUGGGUGUAAAGGGUGCUCAGGCGGAUUUGUAAGUCAGAGGUGAAAUUUUCAGGCUCAACCUGAACACUGCCGUUGAAACUGGGAUUCUUGAGUAUGGAUGAAGUAGGCGGAAUUCGUUGUGUAGCGGUGACAUGCUUAGAUAUAACGAGGAACUCCUAUUGCGUAGGCAGCUUACUAAGCCAUAACUGACGCUCAAGCACGAAAGCGUGGGGAUCAAACA
Molecule: ribosomal RNA, 420 nt
Filed under: uncultured bacterium
Lineage: Bacteria
Description: bacterial SSU rRNA
Rfam family: Bacterial small subunit ribosomal RNA
Source: RNAcentral